This 408-nucleotide ribosomal RNA is filed under the name uncultured bacterium. Its description in RNAcentral is "partial 16S ribosomal RNA". It matches the Rfam family "Bacterial small subunit ribosomal RNA", at positions 29 to 526 of the family's 1533-position model. The record is from RNAcentral.
AGUGAACGCUGGCGGCGUGCCUAAUACAUGCAAGUCGAACGGAGUGGCGCACGGGUGAGUAAUAUAUAGCUAAUAUGCCCCUUGCUGGAGGACAACAGUUAGAAAUGACUGCUAAUACUCCAUAGCAAGGGAUGAGACUAUAUCGUAUCCUCUAGUCGGUGUGGUAACGGCCUACCGAGGCUAUGACGCGUCACGGGUCUGAGAGGAUGAUCAGGCACAUCGUAACUGAGACACGGUCCAAACUCCUACGGGAGUCAGCAGUAGGGAAUAUUGCGCAAUCGGCGAAACCCUGACGCACCAACGCCGCGUGGAGGAUUACCCUUUUCGGAGCGUAAACUCCUUUUGUUAGGGAAGCGGGAAAGAAAGAAUAAGCACCGGCUAACUCCGUGCCAGCAGCCGCGGUAAUUC